Molecule: ribosomal RNA, 468 nt
Filed under: uncultured bacterium
Lineage: Bacteria
Description: partial 16S ribosomal RNA
Rfam family: Bacterial small subunit ribosomal RNA (bases 58-468)
Source: RNAcentral
GGGGGGGGGGGGGGGGGGGGGGGGGGGGGGGGGGGGGGGGGGGAGGGGGGGGGGUGGGGGGGGUGCUGGGGGGGAGCAGGGGGGGGGCGGACGUGGGUGACCGGCCCUUGGCGGGGGGAUGACGUCAGGGCGCUGGGGCUGGUCCCGGGGAGGAGCUCGUGAUUCAUGGUGGGGGUGGUGACGUUUAGGCGGGUCGGGAUGGACUCGCGGCUUAUCAGCUUGUUGGUGGGGUCGUGGCUUACCAAGGCUUUGCCGGGUAGCCGGCCUGAGAGGGUGACCGGCCACAUUGGGACUGCGAUACGGCCCAGAAUCCUACGGGAGGCAGCAGUGGGGAAUAUUGCACAAUGGGCGGAAGCCUGAUGCAGCAACGCCGCGUGCGGGAUGCCGGCCUUCGGGUUGUAAACCGCUUUCGCCUGUGACGAAGCGUGAGUGACGGUAAUGGGUAAAGAAGCACCGGCUAACUACGUG